This 74-nucleotide transfer RNA is filed under the name Trichonephila clavipes. RNAcentral's name for it is "tRNA-Arg". It matches the Rfam family "tRNA". From Rfam's summary of the family: Transfer RNA (tRNA) molecules are approximately 80 nucleotides in length. Lineage: Eukaryota; Metazoa; Arthropoda; Arachnida; Araneae; Nephilidae. The record is from RNAcentral.
GGGCCAGUGGCGCAAUGUAUAACGCGCCUAACUACGGAUCAGGAGAUUCUAGGUUAGAAUCCUUGACUGGCUCG